UAGUGCCCAUGUUUGCAACUCGAUCAUCAUGGAGGAUUCGAGCCUGAGUACUAAAGAUUGGUGAUGCAAAUAUGACUAAGAGUAUGAUAAGAGUUUUCUUAAGAAUUAAAUUCGCCAUAACAGGUGAUUAAGGAGAAAAGGUAAAUUGUGGAGUUUGCGAGAGAUCGAGAAAGAGAUAUGCAAAAUGAGAUGAAGCUGAGAGAAUAUGAUGAUUUGUGUGCAAUGAGACUUUUCUAUUUAUAGAUAAAAUUAGAGAGGCAAAAUAUGAUGAAGAUGUUAAGGAUUGAGUAGGUUGGGUCAGUGGAGAGAACAUGAUGGGAUCCACAACAAAAAUGAAAGCCAAAUCUGAGUCAUAUUUUUGUAUUAUAAAACUCAUGCACGGACACACAAAAGCACUAAUUACGAUACAGGUUAUUCAACUGACCCAACGAUCGAACUUCUCAGGUGAACAUCUAUAUUUGAGGGACCAUUAGGAAUUUACUUUACAUGUAUGGUUGAUUAAGGAUUUAAAAAGUUGGACAUAAGUUUUUUUUUGCCAAAUAUGUGAAUGUCAUAUUAAAAUGAUGCUAGUUUGUAAUGUAGAACUAGUUAGAGUCAACUAAAGCAAAAAAGAAUUAAAACAAGUUUGAGUGCAAUGUAGACAGCCUCGUACGCAUGCCCGAGCCACGCGCAUUAGGUGAUCAAAAGCUUUGUUUUCUUGUGUCCAAGGAUAGCAUCAUGGUUGAAUCGAUCCAACUGCUUGAAAAUUCCUUCUGGUGACAGAGCAGUGCCAUUGCGUAGUCUUCUAUUUCGAUUUGCCCGCAAACUAUUAAGGUUUACUAUAGUAUAAUAUAAAAUGUCAACUAGUCCAGACCCAUGUACCAUGAAAGAGAGUUUAAUAUACAUUAAUACAAAUGUAGAAUGUGUUUAGCAAUUUUAAAACAACACUAAAAAUCAUAGACUUCAUUAUAUAGAAUAUUUACCGAAAAUUCAAUAUUUUCGUAGGGGUUAACACAUAGAUUUUGAGAAAAAUUCAAAAAAAUGAAAAUUCUAUUUUAAUGCAUAGUUGCAUCCUUCACUAACAAAUGAUGAAGGUCAAAGAGGUUUGAAACCAUUGUUGUCUCCGUAUUUCUAGAAAAUAGCAAUUUUAUAGUGGUUUAUCAACCAAUAUGGGAGUAUUAUGAAGUUUUACUAAAUUAACUGACAAAAAAUUUAAUCGAUACCCAUGUACCAUGAAAGAGAGUUUAAUAUACUUUAAUACAGAUUUAUAAUGUGUUUAGCAAUUUUAAAACAACACUAAAAAUCUUAGGCUUUGUCAGGUCCUCCCGGUGAAACCCUGUCCGAAUUCACUAGAAAUCUCCUCUCGUUAUGACCUUUGAACUUGGAGAGAUCAAACCCGAGCUCCCGUAGCAGAACAUGACUAUCCAUAGUGCCCAUGUUUGCAACUCGAUCAUCAUGGAGGAUUCGAGCCUGAGUACUAAAGAUUGGUGAUGCAAAUAUGACUAAGAGUAUGAUAAGAGUUUUCUUAAGAAUUAAAUUCGCCAUAACAGGUGAUUAAGGAGAAAAGGUAAAUUGUGGAGUUUGCGAGAGAUCGAGAAAGAGAUAUGCAAAAUGAGAUGAAGCUGAGAGAAUAUGAUGAUUUGUGUGCAAUGAGACUUUUC
RNAcentral lists this long non-coding RNA (1640 nucleotides) under Brassica napus (rape). Its description in RNAcentral is "long non-coding RNA (BNAP_LNC004123)". The record is from RNAcentral. Lineage: Eukaryota; Viridiplantae; Streptophyta; Magnoliopsida; Brassicales; Brassicaceae.